UGACUACUUUGUGCCAACACACCAAACAGCUUUGCUUUCAAGAUGACUAAGGAAAAUGCUGAGUGGGAUUUGAUCAAAGUUGUGGUCAUCCUGACUGUUUAAAAAAAUUGCAGUGAGAAUGUUUCAGGGUCACUUCUGACAUGAAUGCAACAUUGAACCUUAACAAAAUAUAGAUUUGUGGGGAUGUCCUUACGUGAGUCUGUGCUGCCAUGUCAUUUUAGGCCAUUCAAAAGCAGAGUAUGACUUUCAAUCAUGGCAUCACCAUAAUUAGUCAUGGCAACAUUUCCUUCAAGUUGCCCUUGAGGGCUGUAGAAUCUCAGGCUGCCACCACUGCAAUUAGACUAACAGCUGGCAAAAGAGCCAAAUGAGGGAGGUGGGGGAGAAUUAUACUACCAAAUCAAAUAUGGGUUUGUUUUGAAUUAAGCAUUCAAACUUCUGGUAGAGAAAUCUGCUC
This 454-nucleotide long non-coding RNA is filed under the name Bos taurus (domestic cattle). RNAcentral describes it as "long non-coding RNA NONBTAT004271". Lineage: Eukaryota; Metazoa; Chordata; Mammalia; Artiodactyla; Bovidae. The record is from RNAcentral.